GACGAACGCUGGCGGCGUGCUUAACACAUGCAAGUCGAGCGGAAAGGCCCCUUCGGGGGUACUCGAGCGGCGAACGGGUGAGUAACACGUGAGCAACCUGCCCCUGACACUGGGAUAAGCCUGGGAAACCGGGUCUAAUACCGGAUAUGACCUGCCUCCGCAUGGGGGUGGGUGGAAAGGUUGGCCCGUUUGGGUCUUCCGGUCAGGGAUGGGCUCGCGGCCUAUCAGCUUGUUGGUGGGGUAACGGCCUACCAAGGCGACGACGGGUAGCCGGCCUGAGAGGGCGACCGGCCACACUGGGACUGAGACACGGCCCAGACUCCUACGGGAGGCAGCAGUGGGGAAUCUUGGACAAUGGGCGAAAGCCUGAUCCAGCCAUGCCGCGUGAGUGACGAAAGUCUUCGGAUUGUAAAGCUCUUUUGGCGGGGAAGAUAAUGACGGUACCCGCAGAAUAAGCCCCGGCUAACUUCGUG
RNAcentral lists this ribosomal RNA (473 nucleotides) under uncultured bacterium. RNAcentral's name for it is "bacterial SSU rRNA". It matches the Rfam family "Bacterial small subunit ribosomal RNA", at positions 28 to 507 of the family's 1533-position model. The record is from RNAcentral.